UUGAAUUUUAAUGAAGAGUUUGGUUGUAGCUGGCCCAUUCAUUUGGGCAUGUGCACACCUUCCUCUUUCAUCCCACACACACCUGUGAACCUGUGAGACAGAGAUGGGGAAUUUACUUGCUGCUUUUUGGAAUACAAAGGCAAUAGGUUAUUGGACCCCCCCUCUGUCUACUCAAUUAAUAUAAACUCAAUUUAUUUUAAAACGAAUGUAAUGGAUGUAAGCACAUCUCAUAC
Molecule: unclassified non-coding RNA, 233 nt
Filed under: soil metagenome
Description: partial internal transcribed spacer 1
Source: RNAcentral